CUAAAAUGGCUAACGAUCUUCAGAACACGUACGGAAAUUCUCGUGAACCGUGUCGUGAGGCGGCCAAAGCAUCACUGAAGUGCCUAGACAGAAACAACUAUGAUAAACUGAAGUGCCAGCUGACUUUCGAUGCUUACAAGCUCUGCAAAAGAGAUUGGAAUGCAGCAAGAGCUGAGAAGAGAAGGCAAGGACUACCACCAUUGACAGUGGAAGAAUUUAGACAGAAAUAUCCUGCAGUCAAAUACGUUAUAAACAAAGAGACAAAACCAUAAAUUGGUCAUAUACAUGUACUCUCAAUUCAGUUCUAUGGAUUGUAUAUUUUCUUUGAUAUUAACAGCUUUCUUUCUCUCCUUAUGUGCUUUUGAUAAAAUAGAUGACAUUGAAUACAUGACAAGCUACGACUCAUGAGCAAAUGAGAUGGAUUGUUCAACAAAAAAUCAAAAAGCAGUUCCAACUUAUAAUCUAGGAUAGUUGGUGUGCAAGAAUAAUAAAUUGCUUGAUAACCUGUUUACAAACAGUCA
Molecule: long non-coding RNA, 521 nt
Organism: Corticium candelabrum
Lineage: Eukaryota; Metazoa; Porifera; Homoscleromorpha; Homosclerophorida; Plakinidae
Exons: 4
Source: RefSeq, a predicted model, not a curated record